This 1181-nucleotide unclassified non-coding RNA is filed under the name uncultured marine bacterium. RNAcentral's name for it is "partial contains 16S ribosomal RNA, 16S-23S ribosomal RNA intergenic spacer, and 23S ribosomal RNA". The stretch from base 1 to 152 matches the Rfam family "Bacterial small subunit ribosomal RNA", at positions 1383 to 1533 of the family's 1533-position model. The record is from RNAcentral.
GUACACACCGCCCGUCACACCAUGGGAAUUGGGUCUACCGAAGGUGGUGCGCCAACUAUUUAUAGAGGCAGCCAACCACGGUAGGUUCAGUGACUGGGGUGAAGUCGUAACAAGGUAGCCGUAGGGGAACCUGCGGCUGGAUCACCUCCUUUCUAAGGAUGGUUUUAGCUGAAAGUUUACUUUCACGUAGAUCACUUUUUAGCAGCUCUUAAAUGAGCUUUAGUAGUCUUCGGACUACAUUAUAGACCGAACCGUCCUCAUAUCUCUUCAGUAAUAAUAAUUUUGCAGGUCAUCGAUCUGUUAAGGGUCGGUAGCUCAGGUGGUUAGAGCGCACGCCUGAUAAGCGUGAGGUCGGAGGUUCAAGUCCUCCUCGACCCACCAUAAAAUGGGGCGUUAGCUCAGCUGGGAGAGCACCUGCUUUGCAAGCAGGGGGUCAUCGGUUCGAUCCCGAUACGCUCCACCAUUUCCUUCAGAUUAUUAUAUCAACUCCGAUUAGAUCAUUAAGGACUGUAAGCAGUUUUUAAUCAUCCAAUCGGAUGGCGAACCUUCUGGUUUACUUUUACAUCGUUUAGAGAGCAUAUAAAACACGAGACGUAAGUUUCUUGUUUGGACCACUUCUUCGGAAAAGGUUAGGAAUUGAAUAUUUUGAGGCUGAAGAGCUUUGAGAGACUAGGUUGUUAGCUGGUUCGCAGUAUCAUAGGUAACUAUGAAGCAUAAUCAGACUAGGGUGACCAACCCACUGUGCGUGUGCUGUUGGUGAGCGUUCCAGUGCGGUUCGCAAGCUAAUUCAAAGAUAAUUUACAGUCUUUCCAAGUCAAAUACACUAACCAAAGUCACAGUGAAUUAGAUCUACUGUGACAUGAAGGGAUGCUCGAAAGAGCAUUCAUUCGCUGGAAUGUGCGUGACCUUCCUGCCAAGGGAGGGCUACAUUUGAGUUCAAAAUAAAAUGUUGUUUUUGCAAUUGCAAAACAAUGACGUGCCUAUCGCAAGAUAGGUGCUGAUGAACAAUUUUCUCAAAAAAAAUGACGACUUCUGUUCUAGAAAUAGUCUGACUAUUUCUGGAUCAGAUCAAGCGCGAGAAGGGCGUUUGGUGGAUGCCUUGGCAGUAAGAGGCGAUGAAGGACGUGAUACUCUGCGAUAAGCUUUGGGAAGUCGAGAAUAGACGCUAUACCCAAAGAUCU